RNAcentral lists this ribosomal RNA (360 nucleotides) under uncultured bacterium. Its description in RNAcentral is "bacterial SSU rRNA". It matches the Rfam family "Bacterial small subunit ribosomal RNA", at positions 29 to 414 of the family's 1533-position model. The record is from RNAcentral.
AACGAACGCUGGCGGCAGGCCUAACACAUGCAAGUCGAACGGGUGUAGCAAUACAUCAGUGGCAGACGGGUGAGUAACGCGCGGGAAUCUCCCCAGAGGUACGGAACAACUCAGGGAAACUUGAGCUAAUACCGUAUGUGCCCGAGAGGGCAAAGAUUCAUCGCCUUUGGAUGAGCCCGCGUUGGAUUAGCUAGUUGGUGGGGUAACGGCCUACCAAGGCUACGAUCCANAGCUGAUCUGAGAGGAUGAUCAGCCACACUGGGACUGAGACACGGCCCAGACUCCUACGGGAGGCAGCAGUGGGGAAUCUUGGACAAUGGGCGCAAGCCUGAUCCAGCCAUGCCGCGUGAGUGAAGAAGG